UACGUAGGGGGCGAGCGUUGUCCGAAUUUACUGGGCGUAAAGCGCGCGUAGGCGGACUUUUAAGUCGGGGGUGAAAUCUCAGGGCUCAACCCUGAAACUGCCUCCGAAACUGGAAGUCUUGAGGCAUGGAGAGGGAAGUGGAAUUCCUGGUGUAGCGGUGAAAUGCGUAGAUAUCAGGAGGAACACCCGUGGCGAAGGCGGCUUCCUGGUCAUGUCCUGACGCUGAGGUGCGAAAGCCAGGGGAG
Molecule: ribosomal RNA, 245 nt
Filed under: uncultured bacterium
Lineage: Bacteria
Description: partial 16S ribosomal RNA
Rfam family: Bacterial small subunit ribosomal RNA
Source: RNAcentral